UGGGCAUGUCUGUAAAGGGGAGACUCUGGGGUUGUGGACGAACAAGUGAGAUGAGCAGCAGAUGUUGUGGACAAAUAAAGUCUUCCCGGUCUCAACCACAAUCA
This is a long non-coding RNA of Sebastes umbrosus (honeycomb rockfish), 104 nucleotides long. RefSeq lists it as uncharacterized. Lineage: Eukaryota; Metazoa; Chordata; Actinopteri; Perciformes; Sebastidae. The transcript has 3 exons. The record is from RefSeq and is a predicted model, not a curated record.